Molecule: ribosomal RNA, 517 nt
Filed under: Simulium maenoi
Lineage: Eukaryota; Metazoa; Arthropoda; Insecta; Diptera; Simuliidae
Description: partial 16S ribosomal RNA
Rfam family: Bacterial large subunit ribosomal RNA (bases 390-517)
Source: RNAcentral
GUCUUUUUGGUUAUUUAAUAUAAAGUCUGGCCUGCCCACUGAAUUUAUUUUAAAGGGCCGCAGUAUUUUGACUGUGCAAAGGUAGCAUAAUCAUUAGUCUUUUAAUUGAAGGCUGGUAUGAAUGGUUGGAUGAGAUACAAGCUGUGUCAUAAUAAUUAAUUUUUGAAUUUACCUUUUUAGUCAAAAGGCUAAAAUAAAGUUAAAAGACGAGAAGACCCUAUAGAGCUUUAUAUAAUUUAUAUUUAAAUUAUUAAGAUUUUUUAAAUUUAAUUAUUUUAUUAUAUUUUGUUGGGGUGACAAUAAAAUUUAUAAAACUUUUAUUUUUAUUAACCAUUUAUUUAUGAUUAUAUGAUCCAGUUUUAUUGAUUAUAAAUUUAAGUUACCUUAGGGAUAACAGCGUAAUUUUUUUUGAGAGUUCUUAUCGACAAAAAAGAUUGCGACCUCGAUGUUGGAUUAAGAGUAAUUUUGGGUGUAGAAGUUCAAAGUUUAAGUCUGUUCGACUUUUAAAUUCUUACAU